Long non-coding RNA from Lolium rigidum, 457 nucleotides. RefSeq lists it as uncharacterized. NCBI's taxonomy places the organism in Eukaryota, Viridiplantae, Streptophyta, Magnoliopsida, Poales, Poaceae. The transcript is spliced from 2 exons. The record is from RefSeq and is a predicted model, not a curated record.
CGGAGAAGCCCUAGUCGUAGCAGAAGUAACUCACCUCGGGAAGCAACUCCUAGCAAACAGGGGCAUCACCGUUCUCCACGCUCUCAAAGCCCGACCUAGCUGGAAUGGCAAUGCAUCUUGUCAUGGACAGCUUGAGGAUGAACACUUCAGAUCUUUGGUAAAACAGCUACGAUCUGUUUGCUUAGGCUAUGUGGUGACAACAGCGUAAUCCUUGGCAUUGCUGCAUUGGGCUUCCCACGCUGAUUCCUUACAAACACCUGAGCACUUCCCAAGAACUACAUUAUUUUCUGUUCGUUAUCAUCUAAUUUCUUUCAUGUAUCCAUUUUAAUGCUCCUUUUCUUUGAUACUGGGUGCUUAUGAUAGAUGGUAACUUGCAUAUUUCUCGUUACAUGAUGGAGCUGGGAGGUGUUGGUUGAUAAGUGAUCCAUAUGCAAGUUGAUGACAUAAGUUCACAGUA